CUGAGUUGAGGAGCAGUGAAAAUGGGAAUGUAAAACAAAGAGUCAACUGAGGAAGAAAAAGAUCUCACCCUGCUAUGUACACUUAUUACAGACUUUAAUUGAUUUGGAAAUAUUUUGCCUUCCCUGCUACAAUAGAGGACAAGGACCCUCUCUAUUUUUCUAGCCAUUUUGUAUCUAGUAUAUAGCACAGUGGCUGAUAAGAAGAAGACUUUUUCUAGUGGCUUAGUAAAUAUGGAAUGACUUGUCUGUACAACUAUUGACUGUGAUCCAAAGUGAAUUGUCUUACAGCUUGCUCUUUUUAAAGAACAUCUUUCCUAAAAACAGCCCCAUGAACCAGACUGGGCUUGGUGGUGAGGCUGACUCUGUUAGAAUCUUUGAAUGGAAGAGCAAUACAACAAUAAUACCAGCAGCAACAACAACAAGAAAUGAUGGUCCUGCUCUUCGCCAUGCUGUGAAGAAACUAAUCUAAGGACACUGAUGAGGCAAGCCUUUGGAGUUCCUCUGCUAUGUUCUUGGAGGAGGAGGAGGAUUGAGGCCAAGCUGGCAGAAGCCUGAAGAGGUCCAGUGCACGGGGUGAGCUUUCCCUAGCCUCUCAGAGGUACGUUUAGAGUGGUCAGUAGGACAAGCUUUUUGCUACUUUCUUAAUAUCGCAGCUUUAUCUGCGUCCGUGCAGCACUGCUCAUGGCUUGUUAGGGGCAACUAGCAUUAAUGGAAAUGAUUUAGAGCCUUUAGUGGGCUUAAGAGCAAUAAGAAUGGAUGCUUUGGUCUCCAGCAGAGCAGAGUUCCUGCUUUAAGGCCUGCAGGGGAAGCAGCAGCAAACUGUGGCUUUGUCUGUAUCCAAAAGAAGAGUGAUCUGUGGAUCAUUUGCAGAGAAGACAGAGCGCGGUAGCUAAAUAAAAAUGCUAGAGCCCUUUUCA
Molecule: long non-coding RNA, 917 nt
Filed under: Felis catus (domestic cat)
Lineage: Eukaryota; Metazoa; Chordata; Mammalia; Carnivora; Felidae
Description: lncRNA (ENSFCAG00000047099.1)
Source: RNAcentral